UAGGGAAUUUUCGGCAAUGGGGGAAACCUUGACCGAGCAACGCCGCGUGAACGAAGAAGUUCUUCGGAAUGUAAAGUUCUUUUAUCUGGGAAGAAAAAUAACCAAAUUGACGGUACCAGAUGAAUAAGCCCCGGCUAACUAUGUGCCAGCAGCCGCGGUAAUACAUAGGGGGCGAGCGUUAUCCGGAUUUACUGGGUGUAAAGGGAGCGUAGACGGAAGAGCAAGUCUGAUGUGAAAGGCUGGGGCUUAACCCCAGGACUGCAUUGGAAACUGUUUUUCUAGAGUGCCGGAGAGGUAAGCGGAAUUCCUAGUGUAGCGGUGAAAUGCUUAGAGAUCGCGCAGAACUCCGAUUGCGAAGGCAGCAUGCCGGCGCCUUACUGACGCUCAUGCACGAAAGCGUGGGGAUCGAACAGGAUUAGAUACCC
RNAcentral lists this ribosomal RNA (425 nucleotides) under uncultured bacterium. Its description in RNAcentral is "bacterial SSU rRNA". It matches the Rfam family "Bacterial small subunit ribosomal RNA", at positions 355 to 787 of the family's 1533-position model. The record is from RNAcentral.